This is a long non-coding RNA of Trifolium pratense (red clover), 290 nucleotides long. RefSeq lists it as uncharacterized. The record is from RefSeq and is a predicted model, not a curated record. The transcript is spliced from 3 exons. NCBI's taxonomy places the organism in Eukaryota, Viridiplantae, Streptophyta, Magnoliopsida, Fabales, Fabaceae.
CUCUCUCCACCCCUUAGAAAAUUUAUUUCUUUGUGUUGGUAAGAAACAAGAUGGAAGAAACUCAUUUUUUAUCAAGAUUCUUAAAUGAUUUUGGAGAAGUUGAUAGAAGGAAAAAGCUUGGUCUUGCUCUUAUGAUUCUAGUGACACUAGCUAAGGUUAAGAGCGUUAACCGAGACUGUGGGACUUCGUCGUGAGCGACGGUUUUCGUGCGCGUAGAGUGUGUUGAUUUUUGUUGGAAGCUUUGCCGAGACGAUGGAGCGCCAUCUGAGACCGUAGGCCGUGUGGACGGC